Molecule: ribosomal RNA, 355 nt
Filed under: uncultured bacterium
Lineage: Bacteria
Description: bacterial SSU rRNA
Rfam family: Bacterial small subunit ribosomal RNA
Source: RNAcentral
GGACCCGCACAAGUAGUGGAGCAUGUGGUUUAAUUCGAUGAUACGCGAGGAACCUUACCAGGGCUUAAAUGUAGUAUGACCGGUCUAGAAAUAGGCCUUCUCUUCGGAGCAGAUUACAAGGUGCUGCAUGGUUGUCGUCAGCUCGUGUCGUGAGAUGUUGGGUUAAGUCCCGCAACGAGCGCAACCCCUAUCGUUAGUUGCCAGCGUGUAAUGACGGGGACUCUAACGGAACUGCCGGUGCAAACCGUGAGGAAGGUGGGGGACGACGUCAAAUCAUCACGGCCCUUACGUCCUGGGCCACACACGUGCUACAAUGGUAGGUACAGAGGGAAGCCACCCCGCGAGGGGGAGCGGA